GCCAUGCGAGUCACGCCGCAGGCGUGGCAUACGGCUCAGUAACACGUAGUCAACAUGCCCAAAGGACGUGGAUAACCUCGGGAAACUGAGGAUAAACCGCGAUAGGCCAAGGUCUCUGGAAUGAGCCAUGGCCGAAAUCUAUAUGGCCUUUGGAUUGGACUGCGGCCGAUCAGGCUGUUGGUGAGGUAAUGGCCCACCAAACCUGUAACCGGUACGGGCUUUGAGAGAAGGAGCCCGGAGAUGGGCACUGAGACAAGGGCCCAGGCCCUAUGGGGCGCAGCAGGCGCGAAACCUCUGCAAUAGGCGAAAGCUUGACAGGGUUACUCUGAGUGAUUCCCGCUAAGGGGAUCUUUUGGCACCUUUAAAAAUGGUGCAGAAUAAGGGGUGGGCAAGUCUGGUGUCAGCCGCCGCGGUAAUACCAGCACCCCGAGUGGUCGGGACGAUUAUUGGGCCUAAAGCAUCCGUAGCCGGUACUGCAAGUCUUCCGUUAAAUCCACCUGCUUAACAGUUGGGCUGCGGGGGAUACUACAGCGCUAGGAGGCGGGAGAGGCAAGCGGUACUCAAUGGGUAGGGGUAAAAUCCGCUGAUCCAUUGAAGACCACCAGUGGCGAAGGCGGCUUGCCAGAACGCGCUCGACGGUGAGGGAUGAAAGCUGGGGGAGCAAACCGGAUUAGAUACCCGGGUAGUCCCAGCUGUAAACGAUGCAGACUCGGUGAUGGGCUGGCCUUGUGCCAGCCCAGUGCCGCAGGAAGCCGUUAAGUCUGCCGCCUGGGGAGUACGGUCGCAGACUGAACUUA
RNAcentral lists this ribosomal RNA (797 nucleotides) under uncultured crenarchaeote. Its description in RNAcentral is "bacterial SSU rRNA". It matches the Rfam family "Archaeal small subunit ribosomal RNA", at positions 48 to 858 of the family's 1478-position model. Lineage: Archaea; Thermoproteati; Thermoproteota. The record is from RNAcentral.